AGUUGCCAUCUGUUGACGCCUUGC
RNAcentral lists this non-coding RNA (24 nucleotides) under Arabidopsis thaliana (thale cress). Lineage: Eukaryota; Viridiplantae; Streptophyta; Magnoliopsida; Brassicales; Brassicaceae. The record is from RNAcentral.